This 468-nucleotide ribosomal RNA is filed under the name uncultured bacterium. Its description in RNAcentral is "partial 16S ribosomal RNA". It matches the Rfam family "Bacterial small subunit ribosomal RNA", at positions 28 to 507 of the family's 1533-position model. The record is from RNAcentral.
GACGAACGCUGGCGGCGUGCUUAACACAUGCAAGUCGAACGGAAAGGCCCUGCUUUUGUGGGGUGCUCGAGUGGCGAACGGGUGAGUAACACGUGAGUAACCUGCCCUUGACUUUGGGAUAACUUCAGGAAACUGGGGCUAAUACCGGAUAGGAGCUCCUGCUGCAUGGUGGGGGUCGGACAGUUUCGGCGGAUGGGGAUGGACGGGCGGGUUAUCAGCUUGUUGGUGGGGUAUUGGCUUACCAACGCUUUGACGGGUAGCCGGCCUGAGAGGGUGACCGGGCACAUUGGGACUGAGAUAGGGACCAGACGCGUACGGGAGGCAGCAGGGGGGAAUAUUGCACAAUGGUGGGAAGCCUGAUGCAGCAACGCCGCGUGCGUGAUGACGGCCUUCGGGUUGUAAACCGCUUUCGCCUGUGACGAAGCGUGAGUGACGGUAAUGGGUGAAUAAGCACCGGCUAACUACGUG